Molecule: ribosomal RNA, 240 nt
Filed under: uncultured Lactobacillus sp.
Lineage: Bacteria; Bacillati; Bacillota; Bacilli; Lactobacillales; Lactobacillaceae
Description: partial 16S ribosomal RNA
Rfam family: Bacterial small subunit ribosomal RNA
Source: RNAcentral
UAACCUGCCCAAGAUAUCGGGAUAACACCUGGAAACAGAUGCUAAUACCGGAUAACAACAGAUGAUGCCUAUCAACUGUUUAAAAGAUGGUUCUGCUAUCACUCUUGGAUGGACCUGCGGUGCAUUAGCUAGUUGGUAGGGUAACGGCCUACCAAGGCGAUGAUGCAUAGCCGAGUUGAGAGACUGAUCGGCCACAUUGGGACUGAGACACGGCCCAAACUCCUACGGGAGGCAGCAGCC